AUACGGAGGGGGCUAGCGUUGUUCGGAAUUACUGGGCGUAAAGCGUACGUAGGCGGACUGAUCAGUUGGGGGUGAAAUCCCAGGGCUUAACCCUGGAACUGCCUUCAAUACUGUCAGUCUCGAGAUUGGAAGAGGUGAGUGGAAUUCCUAGUGUAGAGGUGAAAUUCAUAGAUAUUAGGAGGAACACCAGUGGCGAAGGCGGCUCACUGGUCCAAUACUGACGCUGAGGUACGAAAGCGUGGGGAGCAAACAGGAUUAGAAACCCUGGUAGUCC
Molecule: ribosomal RNA, 274 nt
Filed under: uncultured bacterium
Lineage: Bacteria
Description: partial 16S ribosomal RNA
Rfam family: Bacterial small subunit ribosomal RNA
Source: RNAcentral